This 339-nucleotide unclassified non-coding RNA is filed under the name Scolecobasidium musae. RNAcentral describes it as "Ochroconis musae partial internal transcribed spacer region". The stretch from base 1 to 46 matches the Rfam family "Eukaryotic small subunit ribosomal RNA", at positions 1786 to 1831 of the family's 1831-position model. Lineage: Eukaryota; Fungi; Ascomycota; Dothideomycetes; Venturiales; Sympoventuriaceae. The record is from RNAcentral.
AAGUCGUAACAAGGUUUCCGUAGGUGAACCUGCGGAAGGAUCAUUACUGAGUGGUUUUCCCGCGAGGGAGCUGCCCGACCUGAUGUCAUUCUAUCCGAGGGCGCGUCCGCAUGAGACAGCGGUUCGACGUUGGAGGUACCCGGACGAGGCGCUUGUCUCGAAGGGGGAAGCUCCGGGUCGGGCCGUGGCGCGCCUCUCGGCACAACUUUCCGCGGAAGUGGUAGGCGUUGACCUGCCCGCCGCGGGCCGUAUUUUCUACAAGUCUUGAAGAAAACCUGAAGUCUGAAGAUCAAAACAAAAUGAAAAGCAAAACUUUCAACAACGGAUCUCUUGGCUCUG